AUAUUUUAAAACAAUAAGCUUUUUUGGUGAUAGCCAAAGCCCAAAUCAUAAGCCUUCAAGUUUGUUUCAAAUUGAAUUGUUCUUGGUCCUUACCGCUACAAGACACUGAUUCAAAGCGACGAAGUUGCAUGCAAUCUCACCUCUCUCUCGAUCCUUCUUCCUCACACCAGGUCUAAGGCAAUUUCUUGAUUGUGGUGAACAUGAAAUUUGUUGGAGAGCUUAUAUAUUUGACAACCCAUAAGCAUACUUGAGCUCAUUUAAUUUUUUGGUUAUAAUUUUUACAAUUUCUUUCAACACUUCUGCUCUAAAUAGCCUAUUGCUUAUAAAUUUGGUUGUGUAUCUAACCAAGAGAACUUUAUAUUGUUUCGCAAGGUUAUGUGAACAGAAUUAAAUUUCAUCUCAUGGAGUGAAGGGUGGAGGUUAGAGAAGUACAAAAAUUAGAAAGCAGCCAGCAUUGUUUUUUCUUUAUGUUUCUCAUAAAUGCUUACUGCUAUCAGAUUUUAUUGAAUUUCCUUGUACAUCUGACAUUUGAAUCAGUCUUAAAUUUUAUAUUCUUUACACCAAAUAGAGAAUUACUGCCUAAGUAGAUCUUUCCAGCUUUUGAGGCCUAUUGUUAACUAACUAAUAUCACUGUAUCAGGGUGAUGAGGUGAAUAUAAUUGUCAAAGUCAAAGGCUAAACCACUCCAUGGAAAGCUCUCAGAAGGGAAAUAUAAUCAUGAGGAUAUCAUCUUGUCCUUGAUUCAUCAUCACUCUAUUUGAACUUUUUAAGGGGUUAUAAUCUGAAACAAAAAGCUACAAGAGCUUAUGAACGAGGAGACAAAAAAAAAGUUGUCCACUCAAUGAGGAGUAAGGAGUAAGGUAUGGACUUUGUAAAUUGUACUUGCAGUUCAGUGACGGAAGGGGAGAGAUGAGAAGCAAUUUCUGGUUUCAUAUGAAAGAAGACAAUAGCCAACUUUGGAGUCUUCUAGUCUAGGAGGAUUUUUAUUUAUAUAAUAUUCAAAAUAAUUAAGUUUUCCAUGAUAAUUUUUUUUUAAAUGAAAUAUAUCGAGUCACCAAUAGAAUUGGUGUGGUGCUAAUUGAUGUAUUCAACCAUAUAUUCCACCAAUCACAACAUUGGUGUGUUGAGUCAUUGUCACCAAUGCAUGAACAGUAUCCAUUAGUUGAGGCACCAAAAAACUGAUAGUGAGUCCAUGGGUAUAUGUCACGGCAUCAAUACCAACCCCUACAAUAAUGGUGACUGUUUUGGUGCCUAUUGCUUUUACACACCCUUGAUUGGUGGUCUCAACCCCAAUUCACACCAUUAUUAAUGGCGUUUAAAGCCCAAGUUUGUGGUAGUGCAUGGAAACGUGGGAUUCACGUUCUA
Molecule: long non-coding RNA, 1364 nt
Organism: Rosa chinensis
Lineage: Eukaryota; Viridiplantae; Streptophyta; Magnoliopsida; Rosales; Rosaceae
Exons: 4
Source: RefSeq, a predicted model, not a curated record